GGGUUGUGAGGUUAAGCGACUAAGCGUACACGGUGGAUGCCCUGGCAGUCAGAGGCGAUGAAGGACGUGCUAAUCUGCGAUAAGCGUCGGUGAGGUGAUAUGAACCGUUAUAACCGGCGAUUUCCGAAUGGGGAAACCCAGUGUGUUUCGACACACUAUCAUUAACUGAAUCCAUAGGUUAAUGAGGCGAACCGGGGGAACUGAAACAUCUAAGUACCCCGAGGAAAAGAAAUCAACCGAGAUUCCCCCAGUAGCGGCGAGCGAACGGGGAGGAGCCCAGAGCCUGAAUCAGUGUGUGUGUUAGUGGAAGCGUCUGGAAAGGCGCGCGAUACAGGGUGACAGCCCCGUACACAAAAAUGCACAUAUUGUGAGCUCGAUGAGUAGGGCGGGACACGUGGUAUCCUGUCUGAAUAUGGGGGGACCAUCCUCCAAGGCUAAAUACUCCUGACUGACCGAUAGUGAACCAGUACCGUGAGGGAAAGGCGAAAAGAACCCCGGCGAGGGGAGUGAAAAAGAACCUGAAACCGUGUACGUACAAGCAGUGGGAGCCUCUUUAUGGGGUGACUGCGUACCUUUUGUAUAAUGGGUCAGCGACUUAUAUUCUGUAGCAAGGUUAACCGAAUAGGGGAGCCGAAGGGAAACCGAGUCUUAACUGGGCGUUAAGUUGCAGGGUAUAGACCCGAAACCCGGUGAUCUAGCCAUGGGCAGGUUGAAGGUUGGGUAACACUAACUGGAGGACCGAACCGACUAAUGUUGAAAAAUUAGCGGAUGACUUGUGGCUGGGGGUGAAAGGCCAAUCAAACCGGGAGAUAGCUGGUUCUCCCCGAAAGCUAUUUAGGUAGCGCCUCGUGAAUUCAUCUCCGGGGGUAGAGCACUGUUUCGGCAAGGGGGUCAUCCCGACUUACCAACCCGAUGCAAACUGCGAAUACCGGAGAAUGUUAUCACGGGAGACACACGGCGGGUGCUAACGUCCGUCGUGAAGAGGGAAACAAACCCAGACCGCCAGCUAAGGUCCCAAAGUCAUGGUUAAGUGGGAAACGAUGUGGGAAGGCCCAGACAGCCAGGAUGUUGGCUUAGAAGCAGCCAUCAUUUAAAGAAAGCGUAAUAGCUCACUGGUCGAGUCGGCCUGCGCGGAAGAUGUAACGGGGCUAAACCAUGCACCGAAGCUGCGGCAGCGACACUAUGUGUUGUUGGGUAGGGGAGCGUUCUGUAAGCCUGUGAAGGUGGCCUGUGAGGGUUGCUGGAGGUAUCAGAAGUGCGAAUGCUGACAUAAGUAACGAUAAAGCGGGUGAAAAGCCCGCUCGCCGGAAGACCAAGGGUUCCUGUCCAACGUUAAUCGGGCAGGGUGAGUCGACCCCUAAGGCGAGGCCGAAAGGCGUAGUCGAUGGGAAACAGGUUAAUAUUCCUGUACUUGGUGUUACUGCGAAGGGGGGACGGAGAAGGCUAUGUUGGCCGGGCGACGGUUGUCCCGGUUUAAGCGUGUAGGCUGGUUUUCCAGGCAAAUCCGGAAAACCAAGGCUGAGGCGUGAUGACGAGGCACUACGGUGCUGAAGCGACAAAUGCCCUGCUUCCAGGAAAAGCCUCUAAGCAUCAGGUAACAUCAAAUCGUACCCCAAACCGACACAGGUGGUCAGGUAGAGAAUACCAAGGCGCUUGAGAGAACUCGGGUGAAGGAACUAGGCAAAAUGGUGCCGUAACUUCGGGAGAAGGCACGCUGAUAUGUAGGUGAAGCGACUUGCUCGUGGAGCUGAAAUCAGUCGAAGAUACCAGCUGGCUGCAACUGUUUAUUAAAAACACAGCACUGUGCAAACACGAAAGUGGACGUAUACGGUGUGACGCCUGCCCGGUGCCGGAAGGUUAAUUGAUGGGGUUAGCGGUAACGCGAAGCUCUUGAUCGAAGCCCCGGUAAACGGCGGCCGUAACUAUAACGGUCCUAAGGUAGCGAAAUUCCUUGUCGGGUAAGUUCCGACCUGCACGAAUGGCGUAAUGAUGGCCAGGCUGUCUCCACCCGAGACUCAGUGAAAUUGAACUCGCUGUGAAGAUGCAGUGUACCCGCGGCAAGACGGAAAGACCCCGUGAACCUUUACUAUAGCUUGACACUGAACAUUGAGCCUUGAUGUGUAGGAUAGGUGGGAGGCUUUGAAGUGUGGACGCCAGUCUGCAUGGAGCCGACCUUGAAAUACCACCCUUUAAUGUUUGAUGUUCUAACGUUGGCCCGUAAUCCGGGUUGCGGACAGUGUCUGGUGGGUAGUUUGACUGGGGCGGUCUCCUCCUAAAGAGUAACGGAGGAGCACGAAGGUUGGCUAAUCCUGGUCGGACAUCAGGAGGUUAGUGCAAUGGCAUAAGCCAGCUUGACUGCGAGCGUGACGGCGCGAGCAGGUGCGAAAGCAGGUCAUAGUGAUCCGGUGGUUCUGAAUGGAAGGGCCAUCGCUCAACGGAUAAAAGGUACUCCGGGGAUAACAGGCUGAUACCGCCCAAGAGUUCAUAUCGACGGCGGUGUUUGGCACCUCGAUGUCGGCUCAUCACAUCCUGGGGCUGAAGUAGGUCCCAAGGGUAUGGCUGUUCGCCAUUUAAAGUGGUACGCGAGCUGGGUUUAGAACGUCGUGAGACAGUUCGGUCCCUAUCUGCCGUGGGCGCUGGAGAACUGAGGGGGGCUGCUCCUAGUACGAGAGGACCGGAGUGGACGCAUCACUGGUGUUCGGGUUGUCAUGCCAAUGGCACUGCCCGGUAGCUAAAUGCGGAAGAGAUAAGUGCUGAAAGCAUCUAAGCACGAAACUUGCCCCGAGAUGAGUUCUCCCUGACUCCUUGAGAGUCCUGAAGGAACGUUGAAGACGACGACGUUGAUAGGCCGGGUGUGUAAGCGCAGCGAUGCGUUGAGCUAACCGGUACUAAUGAACCGUGAGGCUUAACCUUACAACGCCGAAG
RNAcentral lists this ribosomal RNA (2925 nucleotides) under Escherichia coli. RNAcentral's name for it is "bacterial LSU rRNA". It matches the Rfam family "Bacterial large subunit ribosomal RNA". The record is from RNAcentral. Lineage: Bacteria; Pseudomonadati; Pseudomonadota; Gammaproteobacteria; Enterobacterales; Enterobacteriaceae.